AUGGACUUUGUGGAGGGCUUGCCGCGCUCCGAAGGAUACGACACGAUCAUGGUGGUUGUCGACGGGGUCACCAAGUUCGCCCACUUUGUUCCUCUUUGGCACCCCUUCAACGCCAAGCAGGUGGCGCGCGCAUUCUGGGAGAAUGUAGUGAAGCUGCACGGCAUUCCGGCGUCCAUCGUCUCCGAUCGCGACAAGAUCUUCACAAGCCACCUAUGGCGCGAGCUGGUCGCGGGCACUGGCACCAAGCUGCUCUAG
This 255-nucleotide ribosomal RNA is filed under the name Triticum aestivum (bread wheat). RNAcentral describes it as "partial small subunit ribosomal RNA". The record is from RNAcentral. Lineage: Eukaryota; Viridiplantae; Streptophyta; Magnoliopsida; Poales; Poaceae.